GGAGAGAUGGCUGAGUGGUCGAAAGCAACUCACUGCUAAUGAGUUGACCUGAGUAAUCGGGUCCCUGGGUUCGAAUCCCAGUCUCUCCG
RNAcentral lists this transfer RNA (89 nucleotides) under Candidatus Omnitrophota bacterium. RNAcentral describes it as "tRNA-Ser". It matches the Rfam family "tRNA". Rfam says of the family: Transfer RNA (tRNA) molecules are approximately 80 nucleotides in length. Their secondary structure includes four short double-helical elements and three loops (D, anti-codon, and T loops). Lineage: Bacteria; Pseudomonadati; Candidatus Omnitrophota. The record is from RNAcentral.